Leptonychotes weddellii (Weddell seal) is the source of this 590-nucleotide long non-coding RNA. RefSeq lists it as uncharacterized. The record is from RefSeq and is a predicted model, not a curated record. NCBI's taxonomy places the organism in Eukaryota, Metazoa, Chordata, Mammalia, Carnivora, Phocidae.
UACCAGUGAGGCUGGUCUGGCUCUCUCCAUGGCCCCAAGCAGAGAGCGGCGAAGAGGACCCUCUAGAUAGGUCUCGAAUGCUGGCGCUUUGGGAACUGAAGAACACAGCGCCUGGAGCCCUGGGAAGGAAGACGCUGCUGCUUGAGAUCCCCUCUUCAUGCCCCCUCAAGAGUGGGAGUGUUCAAGAGGAAGCAACUUCUAAGCUAAGAGGAGAAGAGGCAUGUUAAGUGAAAUGUCUUCUCUGUGAAAAGAAACACACAGAAACACACUCCAAAGUGUGACCCAGAAGAAUGCCGGAAGGAGGAACUCCAGCUGGGAGCGGUGGCUGACACCGUGGCCUGAACUUGGAUCUCUUGAGCUCCAUCUUUCUUGGGAGAGAAGAAAACCUUGCCUCUGAUUUUUGUUGUCACCGCUGUGCUGGCUCCCAAGAGCACAAGAUCACUCCUUUCAGGUUCUAGUGCUGGUUCUCUAGAGCAGAGAUAGGCUGCCAUCUUUAAAAGUAACUCUACCUUAAGAACGGUAGGGAGGUUCCUCAAAAAAUUAGAAAGAGAACUACCAGCAAUUCCACUUCUGAGUAUUUACCUGAAGGA